RNAcentral lists this ribosomal RNA (392 nucleotides) under uncultured eukaryote. RNAcentral's name for it is "partial 18S ribosomal RNA". It matches the Rfam family "Eukaryotic small subunit ribosomal RNA", at positions 592 to 976 of the family's 1831-position model. The record is from RNAcentral.
CAGUAGCGUAUAUUAAAGUUGUUGCAGUUAAAAAGCUCGUAGUUGGAUUUAUGGAGUGAUGCGCCUGGCCCGGUUCGGAUUCGUCCGUUGUUGAGUGCCGGUGUGCGUCCUUCAUCCUUCUGGGGAACUUUGACUCCCGUUCUGCGGUGUGGUCAUUGGGCUCUGGAUCUUUUACUUUGAAAAAAUUAGAGUGUUCAAGGCAGGCAAUCGCUGUGAAUACAUUAGCAUGGAAUAAUAAUAUAGGACUUCGGUCUAUUUUGUUGGUUUCUGGGACGAAGUAAUGAUUGAUAGGGAUAGUUGGGGGUGCUAGUAUUCAGCGUUCAGAGGUGAAAUUCUUGGAUCCGCUGAAGACUAACUUAUGCGAAAGCAUUCACCAAGGAUGUCUUCUUUAA